Long non-coding RNA from Sarcophilus harrisii (Tasmanian devil), 1499 nucleotides. RefSeq lists it as uncharacterized. The transcript has 4 exons. Lineage: Eukaryota; Metazoa; Chordata; Mammalia; Dasyuromorphia; Dasyuridae. The record is from RefSeq and is a predicted model, not a curated record.
CUCUCAACAUGAUUCAUAAAGAAAUGUGUAUUUUUUAAAAAGUUAACAUACAUGUAGAUUAUAAAAACCCCCAAACCAAAGUGUACUUCCUAAGGCAUUAGGAACAUUACUAUCAUGAUAGACAGAGAAUAUCAAAGCCAGGAAGGACCUUACAAAUGAGGCCUAGAAAGCACACCCAACUCUUUCGUUUUAUGGAAGGGAAUUUUAUGGAGGGGUAGAGUUGGGGUCCCCAAAGGAAGGUAUAAGUGAAGCCCUGGGGCUGGAAACCUGGUUCUGUGAAGAGCUUUGAAAUUUUAAGAGGGGGGAAGACACAGGGUAACUCCAGACUAAGAUUAUAUGGCUUCUCUCUGGGCAACCACUCUCCUGACCUUGUAGGAGCCACGUAGGAUGGGAGAUGAUGGCAGUGGGAUGGGUCCUGAUGGCGAUAGAAUGGGUCCUGAUAGCGAUAGGAUGGGUCCUGAUGGUGAUAGGAUGGGUCCUGAUGGCAGUGGGAUGGGUCCUGAUGACAGUGGGAUGGAUCCUGAUGGUGAUAAGAUGGGUCCGGAUGGCAGUGGGAUGAGUUGAGCAGCAAUGGGGGUUCAAGUGACCACUGGGAUGAAAGGAAGAAAUGUAGAAAUGAGAAAGGGGGAGAUACAGAGAAAUCUGGGGAGAUGUGUGGGAACUAUCCCAGAGGAAGCUGAGCAGGACCAGGAGAGCCAUUUUUACUAAAAGCAAACAGACUGGAAAGACUUGACAUCCUCCCCUCAAUGUGAUUGCCAACGACCACCAUUCCAGGACAGAGGUCCAGCGUACCUACUCCCCCCCCAUACACACACCAUGGAAGGAUGAUGGACCCAGGAGGAAAAAGGAGAUGCAUCCUGGAGAGGUUGACCUCUGGAGGGCAGCAAUGAGCCACGUGGGAGCUGCCCAAGGCAUUAAUGGAGGGAUCCAGCUGCAGCCUUGACAUCCCUGGUCCAAGUGCUAAAGAACUGUGAGCCAGGCUGGAGGGCAAGGAGGGGUUUGAACCUAGACCCGGCAAGGAGAGGGCACUGCAGUCCCCCAGGCGGGCCAGCUGAGGGCCGUGUUCUAACAGGCAUGGGCUACACGGUCCUGAGUGGGCUCAGGAGUCUGGAAAGUUUCUGGCCACUACAGAGAGGCUGCCACAGACACACAGUAGGGACUUACAUGCGGACUGAGUUUCACCUUGUAAGCCUCUUGGGAGGAUCAGUUGAAAUCAUGAAGAUGAGAAUGACCAGCCUAUCUGACCAUAGAGGACCCUCAGUGCAACACGGGCACCUGCCCCCUCCCCCUCCCCCUGCUGAGCACCCCCUCCAGACUUCCCGAGAUGGAAGAAGCCCUCACUUACCCUGGUGUCCUGUGAUUGGGAAAAUCCGCAGCAGCAGGAGAGAGAGUCCUUUAGAAAAAGUUGUACCAUACUCAUAACAGUGGGCUCCCUCCUCCCCCAGAGAGACAGAGAAAAAGAGACAGAGAGACAGACACAGAGAUACAGAGAGAAAUAG